This 29-nucleotide non-coding RNA is filed under the name Rattus norvegicus (Norway rat). The record is from RNAcentral. Lineage: Eukaryota; Metazoa; Chordata; Mammalia; Rodentia; Muridae.
UGGAAAUUGCAUAAUUUGGACUUCCUGUU